UACCCAGGGGGGUAUUCAAGCAGCGAGUGGGUUUUUCCCAUCCCAUUGUUCUACUGAGAAAUUGUUCAAGGUCCUAAAUAAAGCUUAGGAAAGAGAGCCACCUGUGGCGUUUUUCUUGCUGGUCAAGUCGAAUGCCACAGCUGCUGCCGAAACCUGGGAGAACUUCACCAGGCGAUGACUCAGAAAUUCCUAAUGCUCAGGGAAGUACACUAAAGUCCCCAAGGAUCGACAAGAUCCAAUGUGGGUCCCUGAGCGACUGAUAAGACGGAUCCAGGACCAUGAAGACCAUGAAGUUGGUGCUGACAAUACUAUGGCCCAUUCUGCUGAUGAUUCCGAACGGACAGAUGGAACCAAGAUGGGGGAUCCUCUCCGUGUUCCCACGACCAAUGCCGAUUCAUCAUGAUGCUAGGUUGUUUCCACGACUGUUUACCAGUAAUAGAAGUCUUGAUAUUCCUUAUUUGCCAAUAGAAACGGAUUUAGCACCCAUAGGAGAAAAUAGAUCUUUUGGCCUGAAAGGAACCUUAUGUUUUUAUAUAGUUCGCAACAUUUCUGAAACAUCCUCCUGCAUUCCCUUAUACAAUCAAACGGCCGGUUGGUUUGAUUUGCCCUUGAGUUCUAGUGGCCCCUGUCAUUCAGCGAAUGCCACUUGGGCAUCAGGAUGGUGGCCUGCAAAGAUGGAUGAUGGUAUUCCUCCACACCAGCCGAAAUGGGCUCCCUAUUGUUGGGGGAUAAAUUGGGGAGAGUUUUGGCCCUGGACUGGUUGUCAGUCUCAUACAGUAAUUUGGGCUGAUAAAGCACAGCGUUUUACCUUUUCCCCAGGAAUUAGCACAAGCUUUAAUAAAAGUUUUACAGGCUUUAAUUUUAGUGAUCAGAAUCCUUUUCGAAGCUAUAUGUCUAACCCCUUUGAUAAUUGACUGUUAUGUGGUAUUAAUGGUAGUUGCAUGAAUUUAGAACCCAUGAUUAUGAUUGGCGGAGGAGUCCAUGGAACUAGCCAAUUUACCUGGGGUACACCUCGCCCGUGGGGAUGUUGGGGCUCUGAACCGUCCUACGUUACUGUCACUUCGCCUGAUGGCACCACUGGUAUUCAUUCAACCUAUGCUGGCUGCUCUGGUGAAGGGAGUAAAACAUUUUAUAAUAUUACCUAUAAGCCAACCCCAGUGUGUGUUUAUCCUCCAUUUAUGUUUGUGGUAAGUAAUACAGAGCCAAGCAAUUGUGAUAAUGUAACUUGCUUUUAUGCCCAAUGCUGGAAUGCCAGCUUAUUUAAAUAUGCGAUUGUUACCCGCAUGCCACGGUGGAUACCCGUCCAUGUGGAUGCUCCUCACGCUAUGAGCUUAUUUAGACUAAAAAGGGAUUUUGGAAUUUCCGCUGCCGUCAUUGCUGCCACUUCCCUAGCAGCGGUUGGAGCUGCCACUGCGGCGGUUGCCAUGAGCCAUACUGUACAGACUGCAUAAACCCUAAACAACCUUUCAGCCAACGUUGCAUUGGCUUUAGAUGUUCAGAAAGGGAUCAAUGCACAACUGAAAGGAGGGCUAAUGGUAGUUAAUCAAAGAAUUGAUUUGGUGCAGGAACAAAUCGAUGUCCUCUGGCAGUUGGCUCAGCUAGGAUGCCAAUGGAAGUAUGCUGGACUCUGUGUGACAAGCAUACAAUAUGAGAAUUUUACCCAUGCUGCGAACUUGUCUAAACAACUGUCUAGUUAUCUCCUAGGUAAUUGAACUGGAGAAUUUAAAACCAUGAUGAAGCAGCUGAGGGUGGCCAUCGUUACCGUGAAUUCCACCCGAGUGGAUGCUGGAAUUGCUAAAGGGCUUUCAUCCUGGAUCUCUGCAGCUAUGAAUCAUCUGAAGGAAUGGGUGCGCUUGGGAGCGUUAGCUGGCCUUCUGGUGUUGGUCUCCCUAGCAUGUCUGUGGUGUAUCUGUUGGAUUAGGGUCUCUCAACGAUGCAGUGCAGCCAUGAUAAUACAAGCCUUUACAGCCAUAGAGGCUGGCCAAUCCCCCCAAGCAUGGUUAGCCACCAUGAAAAGUUGAUCUGACGAAUUCAGGGUGCAAGACAAGACACUACACUCAAGGACAGCUAUUUGCUGGCCUUGAGAAGAGCACGCCUGACUGCAUAUGGGUUGGUGUCCAAGAUUCCACCUCUGGAAAAUGACAUCGAGCCAAUCUGGCACUCUUUGAGUGGGAGACACCUAAGGAGGAUCAAUAUAAGGCUCUUGUUUCACAGAGAGCAGGCCUCUACUCUUACCUGUGUCAUCUUAAACAAAAAAGGGGGAGAUGUAGAGAGCUGCUUUGUUCUGUGCCUUGAAAAUGGCGCUGGCUUCCGCUCUUCACCCCUGACCGAUGGACAUUCUCUGACCCUAAACAUCUUUAUUUAUGGCCAAAUAUGUGACCUGGCUUGCUUCUGCGUACUUAGCCCUAUCCGCAUUUCCCACAUGGCUUGCUAGGGUUGGCUACCCAGGGGGUAUUCAAGCAGCGAGCGGGCUUUUCCCAUCCCAUUGUUCUACUCAGAAAUUGUUCAAGGUCCUAAAUAAAGCUUAGGAAAGAGA
Molecule: non-coding RNA, 2536 nt
Organism: Myodes glareolus (Bank vole)
Lineage: Eukaryota; Metazoa; Chordata; Mammalia; Rodentia; Cricetidae
Source: RefSeq, a predicted model, not a curated record